GCCUGUUUGGCUCAGUUGGCAGAGCGUCUGCCUAGUAAGCAGAAGGUCAGCAGUUCAAUUCUGUUAACAGGCA
This 73-nucleotide transfer RNA is filed under the name Parasitella parasitica. Its description in RNAcentral is "tRNA-Thr". It matches the Rfam family "tRNA". Rfam says of the family: Transfer RNA (tRNA) molecules are approximately 80 nucleotides in length. Their secondary structure includes four short double-helical elements and three loops (D, anti-codon, and T loops). The record is from RNAcentral. Lineage: Eukaryota; Fungi; Mucoromycota; Mucoromycetes; Mucorales; Mucoraceae.